UACGUAGGGGGCAAGCGUUGUCCGGAUUUAUUGGGCGUAAAGGGCUCGUAGGCGGUGUGUCGCGUCGGCCGUGAAAACCUGGGGCUUAACUCUGGGCGUGCGGUCGAUACGGGCAUCACUAGAGUUCGGCAGGGGAGACUGGAAUUCCUGGUGUAGCGGUGAAAUGCGCAGAUAUCAGGAGGAACACCGGUGGCGAAGGCGGGUCUCUGGGCCGAUACUGACGCUGAGGAGCGAAAGCAUGGGUAGCGAACAGG
Molecule: ribosomal RNA, 254 nt
Filed under: uncultured bacterium
Lineage: Bacteria
Description: partial 16S ribosomal RNA
Rfam family: Bacterial small subunit ribosomal RNA
Source: RNAcentral